This 253-nucleotide ribosomal RNA is filed under the name uncultured bacterium. RNAcentral's name for it is "partial 16S ribosomal RNA". It matches the Rfam family "Bacterial small subunit ribosomal RNA", at positions 524 to 776 of the family's 1533-position model. The record is from RNAcentral.
UACGAGGGGGGCGAGCGUUGUUCGGAAUUAUUGGGCGUAAAGGGUGCGUAGGCGGUUUGGUAAGUCUGAUGUGAAAUCUAUGGGCUCAACUCAUAGUCUGCAUCGGAAACUGCCGGGCUUGAGUGUGGGAGAGGUGAGUGGAAUUCCUGGUGUAGCGGUGAAAUGCGUAGAUAUCAGGAGGAACACCUGUGGCGAAAGCGGCUCACUGGACCAUAACUGACGCUGAGGCACGAAAGCGUGGGUAGCAAACAGG